GUGAAACCACGUCAUUAACGUGUGAGGCCUUUAUUAGACUGCAAAAGGCCAAAUUACAGCCUUUAUAGGACUGUGAACGUAGUUAAGAGUGUUCUAAGGCCACGGCGCUAAGGAAAACCACUUGAAACGUUGUAGUGCAUUGAGACUGGAAGGAAUAGUCCAAUGGUAACCUGCGCAGGCAGAUGGAACCACGUGAUUUACGUGUGAGGACUUUAUUUGUCUGCAAAAGGCCAUAUUACAGCAUUUAUAGGACUGUGCAUGUAGUUAAGAGUGUUGUAAAGCAAAGGCGCUAAUGAAAACGACUUGGGACGUUGUAGCACAUUGAGACUGAAAGGACUAGACCAAUGGUAACCUGCGCAGACAGGUGAAACCACGCGAUUUACGUGUGAGGCCUUUAUUAGACUGCAAAAGGCCAUAUUACAGCCUUUAUAGGACUGUGCAGGUAGUUAAGAGUGUCUUAAGGCCACGGCGCUAAGGAAAACCGCUUGGAACGUUGUAGUGCUUUGAGACUGGAAGGAAUAGUCCAAUGGUAACCAGCGCAGGCAGAUGGAACCACGUGAUUUACGUGUGAGGCCUUUAUUAGAUUUCAAAAGGCGAUAUUGCAGCCUUUUUAGGACUGUGCACGUAGUUAACAGUGUUGUAAAGCAACGGCGCUAAUGAAAACGACUUGGGACGUUUUAGCACAUUGAGACUAAAAGGACUAGACCAAUGGUAACCUGCGCACGCAGGUGAAACCACGUGAUUUACGUAUGAAGCCUUUACUAGACUGCAAAAGGCCAAAUUACAGCCUUUAUUGGACUGUGCACGUAGUUAAGAGUGUUGUAAGGCAACGGCGCUAAUGAAAACGACUUGGGACGUUGUAGCGCAUUGAGACUGGAAGGACUAGGCCAAUGGUGACCCGCGCAGACCGGUGAAACCACGUGAUUAACGUGUGAGGCCUUUAUUAGACUGCAAAGGGCAAUACUACAGCCUUUAUAGGACUGUGCACGUAGUUAAGAGUGUCUUAAGGCCAUUGCGCUAAGGAAAACCACUUGAAACGUUGUAGCGCAUUGGGACUGGAACGACUAGUCCAAUGGUAACCUGCACAGGCAGAUGGAACCAUGUGAUUUACGUGUGAGGCCUCUAUUAGACUGCAAAAGGCCAAAUAACAGCCUUUAUAGGACUGUGCAAGUAUUUAAGAGUGUUGUAAGGCAACAGCGAUAAUGAAAACGACUUGAGACGUUGUAGCACAUUUAGACUGGAAGGAAUAGUCCAAUGGUAACCUGCGCAGACCGGUGAAACCACGUCAUUAACGUGUGAGGCCUUUAUUAGACUGCAAAAGGCCAAAUUACAGCCUUUAUAGGACUGUGAACGUAGUUAAGAGUGUUCUAAGGCCACGGCGCUAAGGAAAACCACUUGAAACGUUGUAGUGCAUUGAGACUGGAAGGAAUAGUCCAAUGUUAACCUGCGCAGGCAGAUGGAACCACGUGAUUUACGUGUGAGGACUUUAUUUGUCUGCAAAAGGCCAUAUUACAGCAUUUAUAGGACUGUGCAUGUAGUUAAGAGUGUUGUAAAGCAACGGCGCUAAUGAAAACGACUUGGGACGUUGUAGCACAUUGAGACUGGAACGACUAGUCCAAUGGUGACCUGCGCAGACCGGUGAAACCACGUGAUUAACGUGUGAGGCCUUUAUUAGACAGCAAAGGGCCAUAUUACAGCCUUUAUAGGACUGUGCACGUAGUUAAGAGUGUCUUAAGGCCAUUGCGCUAAGGAAAACCACUUGAAACGUUGUAGCGCAUUGAGACUGGAACAACUAGUCCAAUGGUAACCUGCACAGGCAGAUGGAACCAUGUGAUUUACGUGUGAGGCCUCUAUUAGACUGCAAAAGGCCAAAUAACAGCCUUUAUAGGACUGUGCAAGUAUUUAAGAGUGUUGUAAGGCAACAGCGAUAAUGAAAACGACUUGAGACGUUGUAGCACAUUUAGACUGGAAGGAAUAGUCCAAUGGUAACCUGCGCAGACCGGUGAAACCACGUCAUUAACGUGUAAGGCCUUUAUUAGACUGCAAAAGGCCAAAUUACAGCCUUUAUAGGACUGUGAACGUAGUUAAGAGUGUUCUAAGGCCACGGCGCUAAGGAAAACCACUUGAAACGUUGUAGUGCAUUGAGACUGGAAGGAAUAGUCCAAUGGUAACCUGCGCAGGCAGAUGGAACCACGUGAUUUACGUGUGAGGACUUUAUUUGUCUGCAAAAGGCCAUAUUACAGCAUUUAUAGGACUGUACAUGUAGUUAAGAGUGUUGUAAAGCAACGGCGCUAAUGAAAACGACUUGGGACGUUGUAGCACAUUGAGACUGAAAGGACUAGACCAAUGGUAACCUGCGCAGACAGAUGAAACCACGCGAUUUACGUGUGAGGCCUUUAUUAGACUGCAAAAGGCCAUAUUACAGCCUUUAUAGGACUGUGCAGGUAGUUAAGAGUGUCUUAAGGCCACGGCGCUAAGGAAAACCGCUUGGAACGUUGUAGUGCUUUGAAACUGGAAGGAAUAGUCCAAUGGUAACCAGCGCAGGCAGAUGGAACCACGUGAUUUACGUGUGAGGCCUUUAUUAGAUUUCAAAAGGCGAUAUUGUAGCCUUUUUAGGACUGUGCACGUAGUUAACAGUGUUGUAAAGCAACGGCGCUAAUGAAAACGACUUGGGACGUUGUAGCACAUUGAGACUAAAAGGACUAGACCAAUGGUAACCUGCGCACGCAGGUGAAACCACGUGAUUUACGUAUGAAGCCUUUACUAGACUGCAAAAGGCCAAAUUACAGCCUUUAUAGGACUGUGCACGUAGUUAAGAGUGUUGUAAGGCAACGGCGCUAAUGAAAACGACUUGGGACGUUGUAGCGCAUUGAGACUGGAAGGACUAGGCCAAUGGUGACCCGCGCAGACCGGUGAAACCACGUGAUUAACGUGUGAGGCCUUUAUUAGACUGCAAAGGGCAAUACUACAGCCUUUAUAGGACUGUGCACGUAGUUAAGAGUGUCUUAAGGCCAUUGCGCUAAGGAAAACCACUUGAAACGUUGUAGCGCAUUGAGACUGGAACGACUAGUCCAAUGGUAACCUGCACAGGCAGAUGGAACCAUGUGAUUUACGUGUGAGGCCUCUAUUAGACUGCAAAAGGCCAAAUAACAGCCUUUAUAGGACUGUGCACGUAGUUAAGAGUGUUGUAAGGCAACAGCGCUAAUGAAAACGACUUGGGACGUUGUAGCGCAUUGAGACUGGAACGACUAGUCCAAUGGUAACCUGCACAAGCAGAUGGAACCACGUGAUUUACGUGUGAGGCCUUUAUUAGACUGCAAAAGACCAAAUUACAGCCUUUAUAGGACUGUGCACGUUACCAUUGGACUAGUCGUUCCAGUCUCAAUGCGCUACAACGUCCCAAGUCGUUUUCAUUAGCGCUGUUGCCUUACAACACUCUUAACUACGUGCACAGUCCUAUAAAGGCUGUUAUUUAGCCUUUUGCAGUCUAAUAGAGGCCUCACACGUAAAUCACGUGGUUCCAUCUGCCUGUGCAGGUUACCAUUGGACUAGUCGAUCCAGUCUCAAUGCGCUACAACCUCCCAAGUCGUUUUCAUUAGCGUUGUUGCUUUACAACACUCUUAACUACGUGCA
Molecule: long non-coding RNA, 3633 nt
Organism: Hydractinia symbiolongicarpus
Lineage: Eukaryota; Metazoa; Cnidaria; Hydrozoa; Anthoathecata; Hydractiniidae
Exons: 2
Source: RefSeq, a predicted model, not a curated record